RNAcentral lists this ribosomal RNA (426 nucleotides) under Halococcus salifodinae. RNAcentral's name for it is "bacterial SSU rRNA". It matches the Rfam family "Archaeal small subunit ribosomal RNA", at positions 432 to 857 of the family's 1478-position model. The record is from RNAcentral. Lineage: Archaea; Methanobacteriati; Methanobacteriota; Halobacteria; Halobacteriales; Halococcaceae.
AGAAUAAGGGCNGGGCAAGACCGGUGCCAGCCGCCGCGGUAAUACCGGCAGCCCGAGUGAUAGCCACUCUUAUUGGGCCUAAAGCGUCCGUAGCUGGCCGAACGGGUCCGUCGGGAAAUCCACCCGCUUAACGGGUGGGCGUCCGGCGGAAACCAGUCGGCUUGGGACCGGAGGACCUGCGGGGUACGUCUGGGGUAGGAGUGAAAUCCUGUAAUCCCAGACGGACCACCGGUGGCGAAAGCGCCGCAGGAGGACGGAUCCGACAGUGAGGGACGAAAGCUUGGGUCUCGAACCGGAUUAGAUACCCGGGUAGUCCAAGCCGUAAACGAUGCUCGCUAGGUGUGGCGCAGGCUACGAGCCUGCGCUGUGCCGUAGGGAANCCGANAAGCGAGCCGCCUGGGAAGUACGUCCGCANGGAUGAAACUU